UAAACGAUGAUCACUAGACAUCGGCGACAUACUGUCGGUGUCAAAGCGAAAGUAUUAAGUGAUCCACCUGGGGAGUACGCCGGCAACGGUGAAACUCAAAGGAAUUGACGGGGGCCCGCACAAGCGGUGGAGCAUGUGGUUUAAUUCGAUGAUACGCGAGGAACCUUACCUGGGCUUAAAUGCAGAACGACCGAUCCGGAAACGGAUCUUUCUUCGGACGGACUGCAAGGUGCUGCAUGGUUGUCGUCAGCUCGUGCCGUGAGGUGUCGGGUUAAGUCCCAUAACGAGCGCAACCCCUAUCGUUAGUUGCCAGCGGAUAAUGCCGGGGACUCUAACGAAACUGCCCGUGCAAGCGGAGAGGAAGGUGGGGAUGACGUCAAAUCAUCACGGCCCUUACGUCCAGGGCUACACACGUGCUACAAUGGCGCAUACAAAGGGCAGCUACCACGCGAGUGGAUGCUAAUCUCUAAAGUGCGUCUCAGUUCGGAUUGAAGUCUGCAACUCGACUUCAUGAAGCUGGAAUCGCUAGUAAUCGCGCAUCAGCCAUGGCGCGGUGNAUACGUUCCCGGGCAUUGUACACACCGCCCGUCAAGCCAUGGAAGCUGGGGGUGCCUGAAGUCGGUGACCGCAAGGAGCCGCCUAG
RNAcentral lists this ribosomal RNA (643 nucleotides) under uncultured organism. RNAcentral's name for it is "bacterial SSU rRNA". It matches the Rfam family "Bacterial small subunit ribosomal RNA", at positions 803 to 1460 of the family's 1533-position model. The record is from RNAcentral.